This 513-nucleotide ribosomal RNA is filed under the name uncultured Glomus. RNAcentral describes it as "SSU rRNA". It matches the Rfam family "Eukaryotic small subunit ribosomal RNA", at positions 569 to 1081 of the family's 1831-position model. The record is from RNAcentral. Lineage: Eukaryota; Fungi; Glomeromycota; Glomeromycetes; Glomerales; Glomeraceae.
AGCAGCCGCGGUAAUUCCAGCUCCAAUAGCGUAUAUUAAAGUUGUUGCAGUUAAAAAAGCUCGUAGUUGAAUUUCGGGAUCAGUACGGUGGUCGUGCCUCCGGUAUGUACUGUUGUUACUGGUUCCUCCCUUCUGAAGAACUAUCAUGUCAUUAAUUUGGUGUGGUGGGGAAUCAGGACUGUUACUUUAGAAAAAAUUAGAGUGUUUAAAGCAGGCUCGCGCUUGAAUACAUUAGCAUGGGAUAAUGAAAUAGGACGUUUGAUCCUAUUUUGUUGGUUUCUAGGAUUGACGUAAUGAUUAAUAGGGAUAGUUGGGGGCAUUAGUAUUCAAUUGUCAGAGGUGAAAUUCUUGGAUUUAUUGAAGACUAACUACUGCGAAAGCAUUUGCCAAGGAUGUUUUCAUUAAUCAAGAACGAAAGUUAGGGGAUCGAAGACGAUCAGAUACCGUCGUAGUCUUAACCAUAAACUAUGCCGACUAGGGAUUGGAUGAUGUUAAUUUUAUAAUGACUCAUUC